CGAGGAAAUAUGAGCCGCUUCUGGUUCUAUUUUCUUUUUCUAUUUUUCUCAAUUAAAAGCCCAAGCCUCAUCCUAUUUGUCUGUUGCGCGGUGUAGGUGUUCAUCCACUACUGGAAGCGAUAAAGAAAGACGCGGAGAAAGGGAGGGGACAAUGGCGAAAGAGGAGAGGAGGAUGAGGGAGGGAGCCAGCCAGGAGGGAAGGAAUAGGCCUAUAGGCAAAUAUACAGUCGAUGUCACAUAAUCUCGUGCCCUUGCACUGCCAAUCUGUGUGACGUGGUUCUGAGAUGUCGGAAUGUGCUGUUCUCGCAGCGGAGGUCGUUAGACGCACUGGAUGGGAUGGUUACGUUACCGGACAUUGAUAACCGCUGCAGACACACGCGUCCAGCGGGGGGCGAUAAGGGGAGUUUAUAAAAACAUGGUGAUGACUGACCAUGUCCAUUAGUACGAGGGACAACAACUCUGCGCGAGAGAAAGUGUGCCUUGAAAAACCCUAGCUCAGUAGUGUCUGAGUAGUGAAUAUUGUGUGUGUGUGUGUAGGCUAUAAUGGGUCUGGCACUGUCUGGCUGGCUGGGUGGCAUCCCAGCCAAGAUGAAGAAGGAUGCUCCCUCCUCUUCCUCCUUCCUCCCGCUGUCCAUCCCUACCUCCUCCCGCCUUUCACUGCUCCUAAACUCCUUUCCCAUUGCCCCUGGAGACCCCCGGUGCCGCUGGAGCCCCACACACUGUUCACCUCACUUCCUGCUGUCCCCGUGCGGGGAGGAAGUGACACGUGCACCCACCCAGCAGAGCA
Long non-coding RNA from Coregonus clupeaformis (lake whitefish), 787 nucleotides. RefSeq lists it as uncharacterized. Lineage: Eukaryota; Metazoa; Chordata; Actinopteri; Salmoniformes; Salmonidae. The record is from RefSeq and is a predicted model, not a curated record. The transcript is spliced from 3 exons.